Molecule: ribosomal RNA, 604 nt
Filed under: uncultured Bacteroidota bacterium
Lineage: Bacteria; Pseudomonadati; Bacteroidota
Description: bacterial SSU rRNA
Rfam family: Bacterial small subunit ribosomal RNA
Source: RNAcentral
GUACUGAGACACGGACCAGACUCCUACGGGAGGCAGCAGUGAGGAAUAUUGGACAAUGGGAGCAAUCCUGAUCCAGCCAUGCCGCGUGCAGGAAGACUGCCCUAUGGGUUGUAAACUGCUUUUAUACAGGAAGAAAAAGGUGUACGUGUACACUGUUGACGGUACUGUAAGAAUAAGGAUCGGCUAACUCCGUGCCAGCAGCCGCGGUAAUACGGAGGAUCCAAGCGUUAUCCGGAAUCAUUGGGUUUAAAGGGUCCGUAGGCGGGAUAAUAAGUCAGUGGUGAAAGUCUGCAGCUCAACUGUAGAAUUGCCAUUGAUACUGUUGUUCUUGAGUUAUUGUGAAGUGGUUAGAAUGAGUAGUGUAGCGGUGAAAUGCAUAGAUAUUACUCAGAAUACUGAUUGCGAAGGCAGAUCACUAACAAUACACUGACGCUGAUGGACGAAAGCGUAGGUAGCGAACAGGAUUAGAUACCCUGGUAGUCUACGCCGUAAACGAUGGUUACUAGCUGUUCGGGUUAAUUGAGACCUGAGUGGCUAAGCGAAAGUGAUAAGUAACCCACCUGGGGAGUACGUUCGCAAGAAUGAAACUCAAAGGAAUUGACGG